UCACGCUCAUUCUCUAAUUUUUUACAUAUCGAAUCCCUCAAACCCUAAUCAUUCUACUCAUCCACCAUCCACCCCAUUACCCUUUUCUCUCAUCGCUCUCUCGUCCUCUCUUCUCUGAAACCUCUCUGAACUUAGAACUAAUCACUGCAAGUCACUGAGAGACCACUGUGAGACCACCAUCAUCCAUAUUAGCCAAGAAUCUAGCCAACGCCAUUCCCAUUUUCAUCAUAUACUUCAAAAUCUCAAAACACCAAAACCCUAGCCCGAAACAUAAAAUCCAUAGAAUCACAUCAUCACACCUUCAUCGGUUCAAAUCCGCCAUUAAAACCCUGCAUGCACCUCCAGAUUCGGAUGAAUCUUGACAUAAUCAUGACGUUUGAUGACCAGAGGUCAAAUGCAAGGACCUCUACGUAAAAGCUUUGUCUUGAGGUCUGACGGCUUCAAUGGCUAGUCCAUUCAUCACUUCGGAGAGGGUACUAAUCCUUAACGGCUAAAGCUAAGCCUGGUUUGCUAGCCUUAGGAAGGUCAGUAUGCUUUCAAUUUUGUUUCAAUGAUUGAAUUUGUGUAUGGCUUAUCAUGUAUAAUUGUUCUUUUUGAUUAGCCUAAUGUGUGUUGAGUUUUAUGUUAGCAGUUGUGUUUUCUUACUUUGUUAGCAUUAAUAUGAUAUAAAGCAUGUUUGUGAGAUUGGUUUACAUAGCAUGAUUAUAUUUCAUGGAUUUAAUAUUGAUCUUGCUCUGUUUGAUUAGACCUAAGCUGAUUUCAUUCGCUUACUUUUUUAAUGUUAGAUAUAGAUGAUAUUCCACAUUGUUACAAUGUUAGAUAUAGAUGAUAUUCCACAUUGUUACAAGGCUGUCUUAUUUUUCAUAGAUACCAUGCCUAUAAGAUCUUUACCUGUUUAAGCUCCAAGAUAAUAUGAUGAAGAUUCACCUUGUCCUGCUCUCUUAGUUUUCCCUUGUUCUCUAUGUAGCAUGACUUUUGUUACUUUAACUGUACACUCAAAAAUACUUAUCAUAAACUAUUGGAUAUCCUAUGAAGUUUGAGUAAUCUUCUGGUUUAUGUAUUUGUAAAUUUGUAGGUGAUUGCCAUAAAUUGGUUUAGGCUCAUUUAGAUUUCAUCUUCUGACUCAUUAAGUGUUGGAAAUUAUGUUCAUUAUUGUGCAAUCUUAGUGAAGUAUUAGGCCUCGGUUGAAUCCCAAUAAAUGAAUACAUGUUUGAGUGUUUAUUUUUUGCUCACUCUGGCUAAUAUCUUAGAUUACUUAGAACGACAUUCUAGGUUUGAAGUCAUCUUUAACAUAGCAAGUAUGCCUAUAGGAGUAUACUGUUAACAACUUUUUUAUUUUGUGAUUCUUAUUUGACUAUGCCUGUUAGAAACGGUGAAGUUAUAUGUGUUGUUAGAUGUAAAAUGAUUAUAAGGUGCCUUCAGAUCCUUGGAACCUCUUAAAAAAAUUGCUGGGGUUCCAUGAUUAUAUGUGAUGAUAAUGUUCUAUAUGCCUAUGAUAGUGAUUAGCUUACUGAAAACACUUCAAACCUAAAGCAUGUUUUCGUAUUCUGAUUGUUUAUGCAAUUUUACCUAAAUGAGUGCUUCAAUUUCAAAUUAGUUUAUGUUGAGAAGUCUAGUGUUAUUCUGAAACUAUUUGCGUCUUUAACCAUGAUUAGUUUUGUUGAGAAAACUUGGAUCCUAAAGCAUGUUUCGCAUGCUGCUAUCUAUCUCAUAUUGCAUAGAGUGCUUCUGUUAUAAAAUGAUGUUUUGAUGAUAUGAUCUGGUGCAUUGCUUUGAGUUGGAUGUGUUUCACUUAACUAAGUUUUUUGAAUGAUUUGAGGCACUGUCCUAGACAUUCUGUGUUUAAAAGUUUCCUUUGUGAGAACAUGUUGAAUUUAUUUGGCCAGAUUAUUGGUUGAAGUUCUAAGUCAAUAUUUGUGUUCAAAUCUUUUUGGAGGAACAAAGUUUAGUGAUUAAUGGCCUUUAUUGUGGACCUAAUUUCAUUGCCAAGGAAUCCCUCUCUGGCACAAGCACUGUUCCGGUCCCUAGAAACCUUUGUGAACUCUAAAAUGCCAGGGGUGAAAGGGCAACCUUGUAUGGGGAAUGUGGUUCACUCUAUCCGGUGUCUAUUGACUUUAACAAAUCCCUAGAGGGUAAUUACAAAUACAAUAUGGCUUACUUCA
This is a long non-coding RNA of Nicotiana attenuata, 2162 nucleotides long. RefSeq lists it as uncharacterized. The transcript has 2 exons. NCBI's taxonomy places the organism in Eukaryota, Viridiplantae, Streptophyta, Magnoliopsida, Solanales, Solanaceae. The record is from RefSeq and is a predicted model, not a curated record.